GAACGCACAUUGCGCCCGCCAGUAUUCUGGCGGGCAUGCCUGUCUGAGCGUCAUUUCAACCCUCAGCCCCCGUCCGCGGGGCGCUGGCGUUGGGGAUCGGCCGUCCUUGCGGCGGCCGGCCCCGAAACACAGUGGCGGUCUCCCGUAGACUCCCCUGCGUAGUAACACUACCUCGCAGAAGGGACGAGCGGGCUGGCCACGCCGUAAAACCCCCCACUUCUCAAGGUUGACCUCAGAUCAGGUAGGAAUACCCGCUGAACUUAAG
This 265-nucleotide unclassified non-coding RNA is filed under the name uncultured Hypocreales. RNAcentral's name for it is "sequence contains 5.8S rRNA gene". The stretch from base 1 to 53 matches the Rfam family "5.8S ribosomal RNA", at positions 102 to 154 of the family's 154-position model. The record is from RNAcentral. Lineage: Eukaryota; Fungi; Ascomycota; Sordariomycetes; Hypocreales.